AGCACAAUUGCUGGGUCCUAUAGCACAAGUAUGAUCAGUUUUUAAGAAACUGCCAAACUGUCUACUAAGGUGGCUGAAUUAUUUUGCAUUCCCUCCAGCAAU
This 102-nucleotide microRNA precursor is filed under the name Marmota monax (woodchuck). The record is from RNAcentral. Lineage: Eukaryota; Metazoa; Chordata; Mammalia; Rodentia; Sciuridae.